Long non-coding RNA from Vigna unguiculata (cowpea), 545 nucleotides. Lineage: Eukaryota; Viridiplantae; Streptophyta; Magnoliopsida; Fabales; Fabaceae. The record is from RefSeq and is a predicted model, not a curated record.
GAGUGAGUGUGCGAACAAGUAACUGCAUUUUUUUGCAUUCUUCUGCUUUUCUUGGUUCAUCAAUGGAGCGUUCUUCCAGGAAGCUAUCCUUAGAACAAAUCGAAGCAAUGACCCAUGCCACCAUCAACAAAAUCCACUUUUCAAACGCGCGAGAGCGUCUCCGCCACGGCACAACCGUGACCUACCAUGACUGCACCGCCGCAGGUUACGGCUGGCUUCUUCCGGGUUGGGUAGCCGAGGAACGCCGAGUCCAGAGUGGAAGAAUCUACAGGUACUACUACGACCCGAAUGGAUCGUUUUACGAGAGCCAACAAAAGGUGUUGGAGUUCCUGGAGCGAUUAUGGGGAAUAAUCGUUCUUGACACUUAGAUCUCAGAGAUCUUUGUGUUGCACUCUUAGGAGUACUUGUUGUGGCAAGCCAGACUCGGACGGGGACCCUUUAGUUUAAAUUAAUAAUGUCUUCGUUUGUUGUUGUUCUUGUUUUUUUCGUUGUUUUGUGCUCAUUGUUCUUCAAUGUUAAUGGCUAUUUUCUCAAUUCCUUCGUAA